AACGAACUGAGUAUACCGCGACACAAGCACACAUCGAUUGUAUAGAUACCUGUUGAAUGCCGGAAUCAGAGUCAGCGGCACGUUGGCGGUCAACUAAAUCGAAAAGGGGCAAACGAACCGAUGGGAAAGUACAACCUUCUCUAAUACGUCGACGUGUACUUUCUCGAUCGAUUGAUUUUUUCGUCCGUUAAACUUUUUCUCGACCGAUUUACUCGAUGCUGCGAAUUGAUGGACGUAAAAAUAAAAGAACUCGGUGGAUCAGAACCACGCGAAUCGUUUAGUUGUCAGAGAUUCAUGGAUCCAUGAUCAUUUCUUUUACUCGCUUUGAAUAGAACUACACUCUAGACUUGCAGGGCCUCUGUCGUUGUUGAAAACAUUCGAUAGUAAAUUUAUUCGAACAAAACUGCAAAAUAACAUUUUUUUCAAUGCUGAUAAAGAUGCGAAUGGAGGCAUGAAUCUCGACUGCCUAGUAUUAGGAUUGCAGGAAUACAACUAAUGGAACAUAAGAACGUAUCAGUAAUUUGCGCAAACAAUAAUGAAACCCAGUUUUUAAACCUGUUAUUCGUAGUCGCACUCUGAUGGUAUUCUCGAUGCGUCGGUAAAAUGUAAUUUAGCUGCUGAGUAAAAGACCAUGGAAUUCUGAAAUUGACUGCGACCAUGGCCGCACAGACUGGAAUCGUGUGGUUUUCCUCGACAAGUAGACGUGAAAGAAAAAGAAUACUCCGAAAGGCUUGUUGCAGUCUCCUACUGGCGAAGGACACCGUUCAAACGUGGAUUAUAAUAAUUUGAUCUUAUUCGACAAAUAUUCUUAUGCACGAACCCGAAGGAUUAUGAGGAUCUGCAAAUAGGACCAAUAAUCAUUUAAACAAAGCACAACUUUGUAUUUACAGGUAUAGAAGUACCGAAGUCUUGGCACCACUUGGAUCUUUCGUAAAAGAAAGAUACCGAGAGCUGUAAUUAAAAGGAGCCUUUGCGACGAACGUAGCACAAGUUAUACAUAUGUAUACGCGGGUCUCCGAUUCGUCGAGACAAUGAGGAAUCCUUGUCAUUUAAUUAUAAUGAUUUAUUUAUUAUAAAAUUAUGCGUCCAACAAAUUGUAAAGGAAUAUAUGCAUGCAUGGAAUCGAAUCGAUCGUACAGGCGAUCGUUAAAGAAAAAUUCUUUUGCGAUUGAACAUUGAUAUACAGUUCUUUAAUCUUUUUUUAGGUUCGAAGCGAAUCACUGUACAGGUGGAUCUUCUUUUUCUUUAUUUAACAUUUUAUCUUUCUCCGUCGAACGGAUGGUCAAAUAAACGUUUAUAUAAGGAAGAGCAAAGAACAUUUCUACGAGUUUCAAGCUGCCGAGAAUCUUCUCUUGGAGUCGAAAUCCUUGUUCUCCCUUACAUAAUAAAAAUCUUCGUUCAUUCUUCGCUUAACUUUUCUUACCUAUAAAAUACUCGAUUUGUUGACUGUUUCUUUCGUCAUAAAAAACGUAUAAAACAUUGCUUAAAAUGAAUGUUUAAACUUACUCGAGGUAACCCAUACGUGUAUUACAAGGAAACAAUCUACGCAUCGAAUGAAAUCAAAUUUCAUUGUCUGUUUGUUUUUUUUUUAAUCUUUUCUCUCGCUUUACACGCUUCCCUUUUUAAGCCUGGCACGGAGCGCAAACACGGAAGUCGAAGGCAUUCCAUAAUACUCGACCAACGAUGAGCCAGUAACAGUCUUCUGAAGUUUCAAGCACGACAAGAUCGAUGGAGUUUCUGACCUAUUUAUGAAAUUUACAAACUCCAAAAAUAUAUCUUAAGUGAUACGUGUGAAAGAAUAGACGCAGUAAAAGACGAUACCUUGAAACAUGCAUUAUCGGAGAGACGCUUCUCUCCUUCUCGAAUAUUAUUAUCUACUAUUUCUUUUCUCUCUUUUUACGAUUGACUUCAACAAUUGAAACAUACAAUGUAAUCCCGAUAACCCAUACUAAUCCACAGAAUUGCAACUAAAUAACGAAUAAAAAAGAGAAUUAUCGAACAAAACGUUAAGUAAGCGAAUAGUUUACACGGAUAAUUUAAGUCCUUGUUACGCUUAUCUAGAGGUAUCCUAUUAAAUAAUGCAAGCUACUCGAACAGAAGAGUUUUAAUAAAAAUACUGUUUUUUAUUGUUAAAUAUUUCUCGCUAGAAAGGUACAGUUUUUUUCGUCGUUGUAAAUCUUUUUCAAGAUUUACGCUCACGAGGCCCAUCGAGAUUACACUGUACUUGAUAAUAAUAAAAGCAUAUUAUCGACAUGAGUACUUAUAUCGCGAAUGGUUUCCGUAACAAAAACAGCCAUUCUCUUCUUUUUCGAUGGGACGAUUAAAUAGUAAAUAAUCUUUUUUUUUUUUUAAUAUUUAUCUCAUUUGGUUUUAAUUUCCGUCAUUUAAUAAUACGUGCUAAUCGUAUCUAUUCUCAACAAGUUCAUCCCUUACAAUGAUUAAUAUAACAGCCUGCCAGCAGCGCAAAGACUAAAGAUAUUUCAUUUUGUUCGCUCUUCUCUUUUUUUAAUCUUCAUCAUUUGUUUCUAUGCUUCGCAUUCCUUUUUUUUAUUUUUUCAUUUUUGUCAGCGACAAACUAGUAUAUAACUUCUUUUUCUUUCUUUCUUUGAAAUAACCGCAAAAUCUUACGAGGCAACGACGUAACGUACGUAUAAGCAUUCCUGGAAAAAUUCAUGAUGUCAAUUUAUACUAUUCGGUAACGUCACGUAAAACUCGUUGCUUUGUUUGUUACUUUUUUUUUCUUUUAACGACUCUUAAUUAUAGGCCUCUGGUAGAGGCGAUUCUUGCGAAUGCGUUCCACAGGCAUCUAGGCACGACAGAUAUAAAAGUAGUACGUUCAGGAAUAUUCAGAUUUAUAACAAUCGAUAUUCUAAAAUAGUGCUAUCACGUUGAUCUAACUCUAA
Molecule: long non-coding RNA, 2903 nt
Filed under: Megachile rotundata (alfalfa leafcutting bee)
Lineage: Eukaryota; Metazoa; Arthropoda; Insecta; Hymenoptera; Megachilidae
Description: uncharacterized LOC105662538
Source: RNAcentral